This is a long non-coding RNA of Arvicola amphibius (Eurasian water vole), 2244 nucleotides long. RefSeq lists it as uncharacterized. The record is from RefSeq and is a predicted model, not a curated record. The transcript has 3 exons. Lineage: Eukaryota; Metazoa; Chordata; Mammalia; Rodentia; Cricetidae.
GCUCGCGGUGGAGCCCCGUUACCCUGCCAUCGCUCCGCUGAGCGUCGCGUGAAGCAUCGGUGAUCUGCGAGAUCUUGCUGUGGGCCAGGUAGCCAUUCUCCUGCGGCAGCUGUAGAACCUACGGAGACUAGAGGUUUUGUGGAAGCCAGAAGAAGGCGUUGGAUCCUCCUGGAGCUGGAGCUACAGGCAAUUGUGAACCAAGCAAGGUUGCUGGUAACUGAAGUUGGGUCCUGUGGAAGAACAGGAUGAACUGUUAACUGCUGAGCCAUCUCUCCAGCCCCAAAGAACAUCCACCAUUGUUAGAUCCAUCACCCUGCGUCUAGCUUGGACGUCAUUAAAAGGGCUCAUCAGGAGUAUCUGAUAUUCAGGAAGACAGAGUUUCAGGGUUUCUGCCUGGAGCUACACCCUCCAGAAGCCCCUGCUUGGCUUCCCAGCACCCAACCCCAUCCCAACCAGUUACGACUUGGGAAACUGGAACAAGGACUCCUCCGACUGCGCGCCAAGCCCUUUAUCCUCAGUGAGCAGAAGACCACAGAAGCUGGUUACUGAAGAGGCUGUCCAGAUGGCAGUGAGCCUCAUUGGCCUUGCUUAGCGCCUUUACCACAGAACAGUCACUGAGUGCUGAAUCUGUGCCCAGCACCCGCAGCCACUACAGAGAUUCGUCAGGCCCCACGUCACUAAGGGCCACUCUAGAGAUCCCUCCAGAGAAGGCUAGAAAGAGGCAAUCUUCAUAGGCUCUGCACUGCCUGGAGUCCUACACCUCUGGGGCUGCAGAGAUCAGUAUCUCUUCUCCUGCCUCUAAUCCACAUCCCAACUGGAAAACGCUGUGGACUAUUGUUGUUUUUAUUUUUAUCUUUUUGGCAAGAAGGGUUUUAAAUAUCGCUUCAGUCCCUUCAGUAGUUAUAGUACUACUGAUAAUUUAUUUUUGUCUCUUGUGGAUGUCAUUUUAGAUAUAGUUUCCUAGGAAUUGGUCCAGUUUGUUUGUGUUUCUAAAUUCUCUGGCCUAAAGUUCCACUUUGAAAUUCUCUGCUACAUAUAAUCUAUAACCAUGUCGCCUUUUUCCUUGCUGAUACUGGUUAUUUGUGCCUUCUCCCUUUUUUUCCUGAUCAAUCUCGGCAGAGGUUUGUCUCUUUUAUUAGUCUUUACGAAGAACCAGCUUUUGGCUUUGUUGCUCCUCUCUAUUGUGUCUUUGUUCUCUAUUUCUUUAAUGUCUGCGCUUAUCUUUUUUGACCUUCUUCCUUCCACAUUUUUUGGAUUUAUUCUACUGUUGUUUUUCUGACUUCUUAAAUUGUAUAUUGAGCUCAUUCAUUUUCAGUAUUUUUUUUUCUUUUUCUGUUUGCUUGUUUUUGAUGUUUGUUUUUCUUUGAGACAGGAUCUCACUCUAUAGCCUAAGCUAACCUCAGAUUCAUGAUAAUCUCUUCCCUAGCCUCCCCAGUGCAGGGAUUACAGGCAUGAGGCGCUGAGCCUAGCUUUCAGCCUUUCUUGUUUUCUAAUUUAUAUAUUUAAAAGCUACAAUUUUCCUGCUAGUGCUACUUUCUUACUUUCUUACAUAAUGAUAUAUUGUAGUAAUUUCAUUACUGUUCAGUUCCAGGAGCUUCAGCAUAUCUAUUAUCAUUGCUUAUUUGACUCGUGAAUUAUACAGAGGUAUGUUUAAGUUCCCAGAUGUUUGGGGGAUUUUUAAGGUUGUUCUAUUAUAGAAAUCUAUCUUAAUUAAUGUUCAGAUGAUGUGGUUUAUGUGAUAACUGAAAUUUAUUGAGACUUGUUCUAUUGCUUAGUACAUGAUUGAUAAUUAUUAAUGUUUCCUAUGUGCUCUUUAAGAAUGUGUGUCCUCUAAUUGAAUAUACAGAUCUACAUGUGACUAUUAGCAACGAUCUUAUUCAAGUUGUAUUUAUGUAAACUGAUUGUUUUUGUUAUGAACUACCAGUAAUUUUAAAACUCUGACACUGGAAUUACCUGUUUUCUUCUUAUAGUUUCCUUUUUUAACAUAAAUUAAGAAUUGUUAUAUUUCUGGUAAAUGUGUAAUAUCCUCUCUAUUUCUGAUAAUAGAGGAAUUCUGCUAGAUUAUCUUGUAUUGAUGUAACAGCACAAGCUUUUAUUCUUGUUAGGGUUUGUGUGGCAUAAUUUUCUAUCUUUUUACUUUUAAGAAUUUUUUACACCUUUGUGUUUUAAUUUAUAUUUAUUGAAAACAGCAUAUGGCUGGACAUUUUUUAAAAAUCUAAUCUAAGGCUGGGUGUGGUGGCGCAC